This is a non-coding RNA of Triticum aestivum (bread wheat), 135 nucleotides long. The record is from Rfam. NCBI's taxonomy places the organism in Eukaryota, Viridiplantae, Streptophyta, Magnoliopsida, Poales, Poaceae.
UUGGUACUCCCUCCGUCCGGAAAUACUUUUCAUCAAAAUGGAUAAAAAGAGACGUAUUUAGACGUAUUUUAGUUCUAGAUACAUCCCUUUUUAUUCAUUUUGAUGACAAGUAUUUUCGGACGGAGGGAGUAUCAA